Thunnus maccoyii (southern bluefin tuna) is the source of this 1106-nucleotide long non-coding RNA. RefSeq lists it as uncharacterized. Lineage: Eukaryota; Metazoa; Chordata; Actinopteri; Scombriformes; Scombridae. The record is from RefSeq and is a predicted model, not a curated record. The transcript has 5 exons.
CAUUCAGUAAUGUUCUCUGUCAGUAAUGUUAUCUGAUGUUGGCACUUCUUGGAAGAAACAGAACUAUGGACUAAAUCCAUCUACAAUCCACUGAAAAUUAAGAGACACAGCAACAAAACAGCUGGACAAACUAUGAAAACACGCAGGCAGCAAAAAGAGAGAUCGUUAGUAUUGUGCUAUAGUGAUGGAACGCAGUCUGCUAGCAGGAUGCUAACGAGUAACAGCACCAAUAUGGCAAGUACCUCAUACCACAUCUCCAAUCUGCUGGAGAAAAUUACCUCCAGCGACAACGAUCACAUCAGGAGCCCGAACUGUUUUUAACAGUAAAUGCUACAAAAACAGCAAGCAGCUGCGCUUGUGUUGGGCCUUACUGUUAGCCAAUCUCCCCGUCGGACAACAAACGUUUGAGCACUUCCAUGCCAUUGGUGUUUUAGAUGCCACCAAGGCCACAUUUCGUGCUGUUUGCCCAAGGGAGGAUGGAGGGUCAUUGAUGAAGAAGUGUAUCUCCUUCGGGGCAGAUGGCACCUCUGUGAAAAUGGGUCACAAUGGGGGAAUGAUUGCCCACCUGCAGAGAGAGGCAGGGAGGCAUAUAAUCCCAAUCCACUGUAUGCCACAUAGGCUAGAGCUGGCAAUACUGACCAUUCAAAAGAAAGAGCCAAUGGUGUCUGUUGUGUAUAAUCUUCUGCAUCUGAUAUGGAGGACGUAUCACGUCAGCAGAAAAUCCAAACAAGAGCUUUAUGGUUCUGGGCAAGAGCUGGGUGUGGAUAUUUGCACACCGUCUAGUGUCAAGGGAACUCGCUGGAUCCCUCAUGUUUACAGAGAGUGUUCCUGUGGCAUGGACAAGACAAGGACCUUGCCACUGACGAAGGUCAGUACUCUGUUGUUCUGCAGCACACGGAGCACCUGGCCAUAGCAUCAACAACAGCAGAAGUUCAAGGAUGGACAAAGGAGUUUUACACAACAUGUUUGAAGAGCUAUCCUCACUUAGCCUCACCCUGCAAAGGAAUGACUUGAUCCUCCCCAAAGCCACAUCAGAGUUGAGAAAGACAAUGACCAGACUGGAAGCAUCCUAGAGAACAUCUAGACCAUGCUUGCUCAGCAGCAGG